GCUGUCGUAGUUUAAUGAUAAAGCAUAACACUGAAGAUGUUAAGACUGAACGAUGAUAGUUCCGAUAGCA
RNAcentral lists this transfer RNA (70 nucleotides) under Nerophis ophidion (straightnose pipefish). Its description in RNAcentral is "tRNA-Phe". It matches the Rfam family "tRNA". From Rfam's summary of the family: Transfer RNA (tRNA) molecules are approximately 80 nucleotides in length. Their secondary structure includes four short double-helical elements and three loops (D, anti-codon, and T loops). Further hydrogen bonds mediate the characteristic L-shaped molecular structure. tRNAs have two regions of fundamental functional importance: the anti-codon, which is responsible for specific mRNA codon recognition, and the 3' end, to which the tRNAs corresponding amino acid is attached (by aminoacyl-tRNA synthetases). tRNAs cope with the degeneracy of the genetic code in two manners: having more than one tRNA (with a specific anti-codon) for a particular amino acid; and 'wobble' base-pairing, i.e. permitting non-standard base-pairing at the 3rd anti-codon position. The record is from RNAcentral. Lineage: Eukaryota; Metazoa; Chordata; Actinopteri; Syngnathiformes; Syngnathidae.